This 301-nucleotide ribosomal RNA is filed under the name uncultured bacterium. RNAcentral describes it as "partial 16S ribosomal RNA". It matches the Rfam family "Bacterial small subunit ribosomal RNA", at positions 509 to 807 of the family's 1533-position model. The record is from RNAcentral.
CAGUCGCCGCGGGAAUACGAAGGGUGCAAGCGUUAAUCGGAAUUACUGGGCGUAAAGCGUGCGUAGGCGGUGAGUUAAGUCUGCUGUGAAAUCCCCGGGCUCAACCUGGGAAUGGCAGUGGAUACUGGCUCGCUAGAGUGUGUCAGAGGAUGGUGGAAUUCCCGGUGUAGCGGUGAAAUGCGUAGAGAUCGGGAGGAACAUCAGUGGCGAAGGCGACUAUCUGGGCCAACACUGACACUGAGGCACGAAAGCGUGGGGAGCAAACAGGAUUAGAUACCCCCGUAGUCCCUGUCUCUUAUAC